RNAcentral lists this ribosomal RNA (502 nucleotides) under uncultured bacterium. RNAcentral describes it as "bacterial SSU rRNA". It matches the Rfam family "Bacterial small subunit ribosomal RNA", at positions 28 to 526 of the family's 1533-position model. The record is from RNAcentral.
GACGAACGCUGGCGGCGUGCCUAAUACAUGCAAGUCGUGCGAACCACUUCGGUGGUGAGCGGCGGACGGGUGAGUAACACGUGGGCAAUCUGCCCGACAGACCGGGAUAACGCUUGGAAACGAGUGCUAAUACCGGAUACGCUCUUGAAUCGCAUGGUUCGAGAGGGAAAGCUGCUCUUGCAGCACUGUCGGAUGAGCCCGCGGCGCAUUAGCUAGUUGGUGAGGUAACGGCUCACCAAGGCGACGAUGCGUAGCCGACCUGAGAGGGUGACCGGCCACACUGGGACUGAGACACGGCCCAGACUCCUACGGGAGGCAGCAGUAGGGAAUCUUCCGCAAUGGGCGCAAGCCUGACGGAGCAACGCCGCGUGAGUGAUGAAGGCCUUCGGGUUGUAAAACUCUGUCUUCUGUGAAGAACAAGCCUAUGAAGAGAAUGCUUAGGCCCUGACGGUAACAGAGGAGGAAGCCCCGGCUAACUACGUGCCAGCAGCCGCGGUAACAC